CAGAUGGUGGACGCGGGCGGCUGCCCGGCCGGGGAGGGCUGGAGGAGGAUGGAGGCCGCGCCCGACGGUGCCGUGGACAUCGUGCCCCUGGACCGCUACGACUCGGCCCGCGCCAAGAUCGCCGCCAACCUGCAGUGGAUCUGCGCCAAGGCAUACGGCAUAGAUAACAUCCCCGAGGACCUCAGGGACCCCUUUUACAUUGACCAGUAUGAGCAGGAGCACAUCAAGCCGCCCGUCAUCAAGCUCCUGCUGUCCAGCGAGCUCUACUGCCGUGUGUGCAGCCUCAUCCUGAAGGGGGACCAGGUGGCGGCCUUACAGGGACACCAGUCUGUCAUCCAGGCCCUGUCCCGGAAAGGGAUCUACGUGAUGGAGAGUGACGACACCCCCGUGACGGAUCCCGACCUCAGCCACGCACCCAUAAAGAUGAGUGCCCACAUGGCGAUGGUGGACGCCCUCAUGAUGGCCUACACCGUGGAGAUGAUCAGCAUCGAGAAGGUGGUGGCCAGCGUCAAGCGCUUCUCAACGUUCAGCGCCUCGAAAGAGCUUCCGUACGACCUCGAGGACGCCAUGGUGUUCUGGGUCAACAAGGUAAACCUUAAAAUGAGAGAGAUAACAGAGAAAGAAGUCAAGCUAAAACAGCAGUUAUUGGAAAGUCCGGCUCAUCAAAAGUCCCCCUCCAAGUGGUACUGGAAGUUAGUGCCCGUGCGCUAUCGCCGAGAGCACCUGUCCGCGAGGCAGCCGCCCUACUUCCCGCUGCUGGAGGACCUGAUGAGAGACGGCAGUGACGGGGCCGCCCUCCUGGCCGUGGUCCACUACUACUGCCCGGAGCAGAUGAAGCUGGAUGAUAUAUGCUUGAAGGAGGUAACGUCGAUGGCUGACAGUCUGUAUAAUAUUCGGCUUCUGAGGGAGUUCUCGAAUGAGUAUCUUAACAAAUGCUUUUAUCUCACCUUAGAAGACAUGCUGUAUGCUCCCUUAGUGUUGAAGCCGAACGUUAUGGUUUUUAUUGCCGAGCUCUUCUGGUGGUUUGAGAAUGUCAAACCAGAUUUCGUUCAGCCCAGGGAUGUUCAGGAACUGAAAGACGCUAAAACGGUGUCGCACCACAAGAGUAGUCGGCCUCCCGUUCCCAUCUCCAAUGCCACCAAGCGCAGCUUCCUGGGCAGCCCCGCGGCGGCGAGCCCGGCCGACUUGCAGCCCCCCGCUGCCCUGCCAGCCGAAGGCGGCCACAGGCACCGCCUGCACCCCGAGGAGCCCGAGCACCUGGGGAAAGGCGCCUCUGCCUUUAGCCCAUCACACCCUUUACUGCCUCUGAGACAGAGACAGCAGAAGACCGCGCAGGGGGAGGGCCUUCCUGAUCAGCGACACCGGUCCAACUCUUUAACCCGAGUGGAUGGCCAGCCACGAGGUGCAGCAGUAGCAUGGCCAGAAAAACAGAACAGGCCUGUGUCUCAGCCAGCGCCCUUUGCUCUCCAUCACGCUGCCAGCUGUGACCUGGACCCCGGCUCCGGUGACAGCGUCAGCCUGGCCCGCUCCAUCAGCAAGGAUAGCCUGGCGUCCGGUGUCAUUAACCUGACUCCGCAGAACCAGCCCCAGCCCGCAGCGCUGAAGACCGAUGGCAAAAGCCUCCUGAACGACGUCCACAUCGAGGAUGAAGAGCUCGUGGCCGUCAUCAGAACGGACGUGGCUCCCCAUGGCGGUGACUGGGGCCUGCCCGCAAGUGCCAGGUCUCCCCAGAGAUUGGCAGACACCCUAGAAAGGAAGCCUGAGACUUUCUUCCUGGAGCCGUUGAUGCCGGCCGUGCUUAGGCCGGCCAAGGAGAAGCAGGCGAUCGCCAAGGAGGACGAGUGUGGAGAGGGGCGGCCACGGAGCUUCGCCUCUAAGAGACCCAGCGAGGGCCACCAGCCCCUGGUGCGCAAGAGGGCGCCCAGCAGUCACGGCGGCCGUGACCCGACCAGGACUUUCACCCCGAUCUCCUGUCCGGAACCUCCAGCGGGCGUGGACCCUGUGCCUGCUGAGACGGGGCCGCAGGCGGUGAGUGAUUUCGAUCCGUCACCCCGGGGACAGUCUGCCGACGGCUUCUUUCUCCACGUGGCCAGGGCCGCCGACGACGCGGAGGGCAGGUUCUGCGUCAGCUGUGCCAGGAGCCCCGGCGCCCACGACCCCGAGCCGUGGGCCAUGCUGAGGCAGGACUCGGACUCUGACGUCGCAGACCUGGAGGAAGCCGAGCAGGACUUGGUCGGCGAGGACCACCCCGUGGUGAUGGCCGGGUACGUCGGCGAGGAGGAGUCGGCGAAGCUGCAGGAGGACAUGAAGGUGAGGGAGCACGAGGACAAGGACGACGCCAGCGGCCGCUCGAGCCCCUGUCUGAGCGCCGUGUCCCAGGUCAGCGGCGUCUCCGCGGCCAGCGGCAGCGUGAAGAUGACGAGCUUCGCGGAGCGGAAGCUCCAGAGGCUCAACAGCUGCGAGACCAGGUCCAGCACCAGCAGCUCCCAGAAGACCACGCCGGACGCCUCGGAGAGCUGCCCGGCCCCGCUGACCACGUGGAAGCAGCGCAGGGAGCAGAGCCCGGGCGGGCAGAGCGCGGACCACGCCAGCCUCCUGGCAUCCGAGCUGGUGCAGCUGCACAUGCAGCUGGAGGAGAAGCGCAGGGCCAUCGAGGCGCAGAAGAGGGAGGUGGAGGCCCUGUCCGCGCGGCAGCGGCUGAAGCUGGGGAAGGCCGCCUUCCUGCACGUGGUCAAGAAGGGGAAGGCGGACGGCGCCGCCCCGCCGCGCCAGCCCGGACGCCCGGCGGGCGAGCGUGCGCGGCACGACGGGGAGGACUUCGACGGGGCCUCCGGGACGGAGGAGCUGGCCGCGAAGGAGGAGGGGAGGGAAGGCGCCCUGCAGUCUCCGGACGCGGACGCCGAGAGCCCGGUCUUCCUGCAGCAUAAAGCGGCGGCCCCGGCCGCGCCUCACGGGCUGGAGAAGAGCGGGGCGCUGUCCGCCGCGCUGCUGGAGGACGCCGGCCAGGCGGUGGACGCGAGCGAGUGCGACCUGUCCAUCGAGAAGCUGAACGAGACCAUCAGCACGCUGCAGCAGGCCAUCCUGAGGAUCUCGCAGCAGCAGGAGCAGCUGCUCAUGAAGCCGCCCGCGGCCCCGGCCCCGGGCCCCAAGCACGGCGGCCCAGACCAGCAGGUGCGCGCGGCCAUCCACUUUGUGGAGCCGCUCUCCCCGCCCGGGACGGCCGCUCACCGCAAACCUCCUCGUCUCGGCCAGGCUCGGAAUUCCCGCUCCGGGAGGCCGGCCGAGCUGAAAGUCCCCAAGGACCGGCAGGCUUCCUCCCGCAGCAAGACCCCGACGCCCAGCGUGGAGAGCCUCCCGCACCUGCGGCCCUGCCCGCCCCGCACCCCCUCCGACCCGGGCUGGGACGGUGUUGCAGAGCCUGGCGGUGACCCUCCCGAGAAGUACUUCUUUGACAGCUACCGGCUCCACGACGAGAACAACCAGCGGACUCUUGUCUUGUCUUCUUCCAAAGACGCAAAUAUUCUGGCCGAACAGAUGAGCCUCAAAGAAGUUCUGGAAAGCGGCGAGAAGGAGGUGGGGCUCAGCUGCCCUUCGGUCUCAGGGAAGGAGAACGUCCCUGUGGAUGAGGCCCCCAGAGGCAAGGCCAGUCUCAUCGAGGUGGACCUCUCGGACCUGAAGGCCCCUGACGAGGAUGGGGAGACAGAGGGCCCUCAGAGCGCCAUGGACCUCGCCAGUGAAGGCGACCAGAAGCCGGGGGUCGGCUUCUUCUUCAAGGAUGAGCAGAAGGCGGAGGACGAGCUCGCCAAGAAGCGGGCGGCCUUCCUCCUGAAGCAGCAGCGUAAGGCCGAGGAGGCGAAGGUGCGGAAGCAGCAGCUGGAGGCGGAGGUGGAGCUCAAGAGAGACGAGGCCCGGCGCAAAGCCGAGGAAGAGCGCAUCCGGAAGGAGGAGGAGAAGGCGCGGCGGGAGCUCAUCAAGCAGGAGUAUUUGCGCAGGAAGCAGCAGCAGAUCUUGGAGGAGCAGGGGCUGGGGAAGCCGAAGGCCAAGUCCCGGAAGUCGCGGCCCAAGUCCGUCCACCGGGAGGAGUCGUGCAGUGACUCGGGGACCAAGUGCUCCUCCACCCCUGAUCACCUGAGCCGCGCCCAGUCGGGCUCCAGCCUGUCCCUGGCCUCCGCGGCCACCACCGAGCCCGAGAGCGUGCACUCGGGGGGCACGCCUUCCCAGCGAGUUGAGUCCCUGGAAGCCUUGCCCACGCUGAGCCGUAACCCCAGCAGGAGCACAGACAGAGACUGGGAAACCGCGUCCGCUGCGUCCUCUCUCGCCUCCGUGGCCGAGUACACAGGUCCCAAGCUGUUCAAGGAGCCCAGUAGCAAAUCAAACAAGCCGAUUAUUCACAACGCCAUCUCUCACUGCUGUCUGGCUGGGAAAGUGAACGAGCCUCACAAGAAUUCCAUAUUAGAGGAGCUGGAGAAGUGUGACGCCAACCACUACAUCAUACUGUUCCGGGACGCGGGCUGCCAGUUCCGAGCACUUUAUUGCUACUACCCCGACACCGAAGAAAUCUGCAAGCUAGCCGGCACGGGGCCAAAGAGCAUCGCCAAGAAGAUGGUUGACAAACUGUAUAAGUACAGCUCAGACCGGAAACAGUUUAACCUGAUCCCGGCCAAAACCAUGUCCGUCAGCGUGGACGCCCUCACUAUUCACAACCACCUGUGGCAGCCCAAGCGGCCCGCGGUGCCAAAGAAGACCCAGACUCGUAAAUGACACCGGCGCCGGCGGGGCGGCCUGCGGGAUGCGUGGACGGGAUCGAUAUUUAUUAUUUUCGUUCGUUUGGUACGAAGCGUGCGGAGUCGCAGACCUUUUUCAGAGAGGCUUCGGUUGACAAAAGAAAAGCCUCCCCGGCGGCGUCCCCCACACGCACCGGGUGCCAGAAAACGUUUACUGAAAACCCCAGUUCACUAAAAGCACUGAAAUCUGCAAAGUCUGUCUCCUACUAAGAUGACGUUUACAGACGUGAUGGUUUUCUGCCACGCAAUCAUGAGGACGGUGAGUGGUGCCAUCAGCCGGCCUUCGCCUCAUUGGAAAUAGACGAGCGGAGCAGGUGACCGCCAUCGCUCCCGGAGUUUGGGAUUGCGCUCUGAUGAUUUGUUCACUUUAAUAAAGACAGAUUUUGGUACAGUAAACCAGUGUUCACUCUGAGCAUGUUUCUCUUGAGAGGUGACGCGCUAAGCCGACGGUCCCUUUGGCGGCCGUAUCGCUCCGUGACUUGUCUUGAUUCUUGUUCCGAAGAGCAGUAGGCCCCGAGAGGAGUGCGCGGCUCCUCGUCCAGAUUGAUAAUCUUGUUCGUUGGGCCUUUAAAAGCGGCGUAAGUGGUCAUUUGCGGUGGAGCGGCUUUGGGUUCUCUCCACGUUGGUCCAGACGGUCGUGUCGCUAACGCUUCUCCGGACCAGAUGCUCCCGGGAGACCGGCCUUCGGCCCCGCCGGGUGUGCGCCGCGGCUCCCCUCUGCCUGGCCGUCGCGUGGUCGCAGGCCUGACGCCGUGUGAUGGACCAGCUGCUCUGAGCCUUGACCCGACGGCCAGAAGAUUCCGGAGUCACGUUAGUUUUGCACAUGUCUUCUUGGGAGUGUUACUUGAAUCUGUGUUGAACUGUAGAGACGCCGAAGAUCCGUAGGAAAAGUUAGGCAAACGUAGCUGCUCCCUAACUGUGGGUGGAGUACGAGGUAAGUGAGCCCCGUGCCUCAGGGAGGGGGGAGCAGGCUACAGACCCCGAGGGGGGGGCUGUGGGCCUCCCUCCCGCUUCCCCCGUCUGCGCCCCCGUCUUCCGAAGAUUCGUCUGUAAGUACCGUGUCCGCGGCAGCCGCGUCCUGCGAGUGGGUCGUGGAGGCCGCCUGGGCCGCAAGCCGAGUGCUCGGAAAGGGUCCUGAGUGAACUUGUUCUCCUGUGCUUCUCGCUGUAUGUUCGAUAUUCUCUUAUCCUAUUUAUUUUAAGAAAGCACCGAGAUGUAAUAAAGUAAUUAAUUUGCUUUUUAGUAAUCACA
Herpailurus yagouaroundi (jaguarundi) is the source of this 6035-nucleotide RNA transcript. It is a transcript of the gene named calmodulin regulated spectrin associated protein 1, with no coding region annotated. The record is from RefSeq and is a predicted model, not a curated record. The transcript has 19 exons. NCBI's taxonomy places the organism in Eukaryota, Metazoa, Chordata, Mammalia, Carnivora, Felidae.